Molecule: non-coding RNA, 73 nt
Organism: Balaenoptera ricei (Rice's whale)
Lineage: Eukaryota; Metazoa; Chordata; Mammalia; Artiodactyla; Balaenopteridae
Source: the annotation of a RefSeq genome assembly
UCCCUGGUGGUCCAGUGGUUAGGACUCGGGAGCUUUGACUGCUGGGGCCCGGGUUCAAUCCCCGGUCGGGGAA